AACAAGCAUGUGGCAGGGUCCCUGGUUCGUGGUGCUGCUUUUCAGCUGUAGAAGUGUGGCUCAGACCCUGACGCAGCCCAAAGCAUCGAUUACCGCACCUAUUGGGACAAGGGCGCGAAUUUUUUGUCAAAUGAAUGGACUCUCCGUCAGCAGCCCUUCACUGGUACCAGCCCUUCACUGGUACCAACAGAAACCCGGCAAGCCUCCCCAAAGGAUACUGUACUAUGGAGAUGGUGUAACGCGGGAUUCGGGAUUCGGGAAAUCCUUCAACGCCGUAAAGAUUACAAAUUCCGUUGUCCAGCUCACAAUCGAAGUUAACGCUGAAAGCGCUGCCACCUAUUACUGCGCCUACUGGGUUUACACAAAAAAGAUAGGACUGGCCAUCGAGUUAAAGGCCGAGAAAGGUGAAAGUCCAAUUUUGAUUUCACACGACAGGUGUCGUAAGGAGGUGGCUAGGAGCGGACCCAAGUGCAAGACACAGACAGUGAAGUACUAG
This is a non-coding RNA of Mobula hypostoma (lesser devil ray), 496 nucleotides long. NCBI's taxonomy places the organism in Eukaryota, Metazoa, Chordata, Chondrichthyes, Myliobatiformes, Myliobatidae. The record is from the annotation of a RefSeq genome assembly.